This 1888-nucleotide unclassified non-coding RNA is filed under the name Octopus sinensis (East Asian common octopus). RNAcentral's name for it is "uncharacterized LOC115227611, transcript variant X3". Lineage: Eukaryota; Metazoa; Mollusca; Cephalopoda; Octopoda; Octopodidae. The record is from RNAcentral.
CAUAAAUUUGCUCUCAUUUCAGGCUUCCUGGUUCAGCAAAUUGCGGCAGAAGCAUCGCCUUUGGUGUACUUUACCGGAGUUCACCUUAUUUUCCAACAUUCAGAGUCCUGCCGUGCUGUGGAACAAAGCUGUUAACCAAAUCAUGAGUCCUAAGUACUCUCGUUUCGACUAAACAUAUCGCUCAUUCAUCACUCAAACAUCCUCUUCCCUUUUUUUUAAAAAAACCUUCUUUAACCCUGAACCUUAUUUCCUCCCAUUUUUCCUCCUAAUCACCUUGAUAUUUUUUAUACUCCCUUUACAUCCAUUUCUCAUUUUCUCGCUUUCGCUUUCCCUCUCCCUACUUUUUUUCUGUCGCUUUUUCUAUUACACACGAACAUCUUUCUCUCUAGAACAAUGUUACGCUCGCCAUCGAUAUCACCAGCGCCACCUUUAUCACCACCGCCACCUCCACCACCACUGCUACCACCACUGCCACCAUCGCCAGUACUUCUAAUGCUGUUACAACUGCUACAACGACCACAACCCUCCGUACCACAAAUAGCGACCUAAUUACAAUAACUAAUCAAGAUAAUCGACUACCAAACACUGAUACCACCCACCACCACCAUCUGGAGUGUUUCGGAGCUACCAUUGGCAAGAAUGGCGAAUAUUGGUGAAGGCCGCCCUUGCAAUGGGAUGCCGUGUCUACUGGAGCAAGAUGAAGACCCUAAAGAGCUAAGUGAGCUGAGUAAAACCCUUGCUGAUUAUCAGGCGGCCAGAGAGCGGAUAAACAGCAGAUUGCACAAGAUCCGUUUAGAGCUGUCUGAAAUCAGGGAUCAAGACGUGAAACUGUUGAAGCAGUUGAUACAAAUAAGUGAAACGAUUAAAAAGCUAAGUGAUGACCGCUUGAGUAAACGACGGACAUGGUAUGGUCAGCGCCAAUCAAUAUGCAGCGAAACAUCGGACAUAUAUCUUGAUUUGGUGUCACGGUCACCCGAUAUGGACGAGUUGAGAGAGGCUAUGAUAUUCAGGCAGUUCAGCGAACCUACAUCCUUUUCUAGAGAGAUCUAUUUAGAUCCAACUGCAAGCACAGCAAUAUUCGAUGCCAGUGUACAUUUGACGAAUGGAAACCACAAUAAGGAACCCCAACAGAACUGGGGCAUGGAUUUAUCGAAAGUUCCAUUACGUCACAGACCUCAUUCAGUAGCGAUUGUGUGCGAAAAAACCUACAGUAUGGAUUCUAGUCAGGAAUGGCUGUUCAAAAAUGAUAAAUCUUAUGCCGAACUUCUCGAGAGGAGCAUUCGUUUGUGGAAAAGCAGACGGUGCGACAGUCAAAGUGAUGAAAACGACGAAAAAGUGUUGUCUUUAAUAAACGAAUAUAUGAAAAGUGAGCAGAACCAGAAAAGCACCUCAGACCAAAUUAAAUGUUUGUCGAAAGAUGAUACGUCUAAAAAGGAUUAUUGCGAUGUAGCUGAGAGUGCCGCCGCAGAAGCGACGGAAAGUGAGUUAGAGACAGCGAAUUUCGUCGGUGAUAAGGAUGUAGUUAGAUCGUUAAGUCGAUCUUCUGGUACGAGUUUCAAUCUUUGUGGACAGAGUGAUUCUGUCGAAAAGCUUGAAGAGGAAAACGUCUUUCGAAAAGAUGUCGAAAAAGAUGUCGACUCGAAAGUUUCUUCUAGAACCACUCAUAGUCUCUUUAGUGGUAUUAGUAGCAGCAGUAAUAGUCGAAAUCAUAGCAACAACAACACCACCAACGUGACACUAUCACCGCAACCAACUCAGCAAAGUGUUAUUACUGAAGUGAAAAAAAAUAUUAGAUAAUCAAAAUGGCUGCGAUAACGCUUUGAAACUUAUUUAAAUUAUAUGCGUGUGUGUGUGAGAGAAAGAGAAAGAUAUAUAUAUAUAUAUAUAU